UACGAAGGGGGCUAGCGUUGUUCGGAAUCACUGGGCGUAAAGCGCACGCAGGCGGCUCGAUAAGUCGGGGGUGAAAGCCCGGGGCUCAACCUCGGAACUGCCUUUGAUACUGUCGGGCUCGAGUCCGGGAGAGGUGAGUGGAAUUCCUAGUGUAGAGGUGAAAUUCGUAGAUAUUAGGAAGAACACCAGUGGCGAAGGCGGCUCACUGGCCCGGUAAUGACGCUCAGGUGCGAAAGCGUGGGGAGCAAACAGG
This 253-nucleotide ribosomal RNA is filed under the name uncultured bacterium. RNAcentral's name for it is "partial 16S ribosomal RNA". It matches the Rfam family "Bacterial small subunit ribosomal RNA", at positions 524 to 776 of the family's 1533-position model. The record is from RNAcentral.